UAGUGCGACAUAAUUGAGUAAUGCGGCAGCUCCUCGCUCCAGCCCCCCCCUCCACCCCCCCCUUUCCCACUUCCCCCCUGCUCUUCUUCUUCCCCGAUCGAUGCAAUAUCAUUAGGGUGAGAGGCUUUGGGGCAGAGCUCGGGGGGCCCGAACCGCUGUCGGUACUUGGGGGGGUCCCGUCAGGCGUCGCUCCGUCCCCACCGGCCCGACCCGGCAGCGCCCCGAAUCCGAAGGGUUGGGCUCGGGUUCGGUGCCCCAUCUCGGAGCCGGCUCCUCUCCCCUUCUUCCCAUCCAUUCGACAGCUGGAUGCUAUUGAUCCCUUCCCUCUCCUCCUUUUUUUUCCUUCCCUUCCCGAGCUCUCUCUCCUCUCUCUUUAAUUCCCUCCGUUCCUCCGGAGGAGCCGCCCGGUUCUGGGGGAAGAGCCCGAAAGGCAAAACGACGCGGCCCCAAAUAAGAGGCGGAGAAGCACCUGAGGGUGAGAUUUAUGGCAUCCAGCGAUCAGGCGAUCAACUUCCUUAAAGUUCUUAAAGGCUUCCAAACAACAGCCCCAUCGCCUGGCAGGUGAAUUAUUCAGUGCCUAUGGAUUCCUCGCGAGCCCUUUCAUUCCGGUCCCAAAUCUUUCCCAGCCCACCCUUUGCCUAUGGAUGUCUCGAUUUUACAACAAUCAAGCGGGAGGCGAAGAGCGUGGCAAUUUCUGCUAAUCGAUUUUCCAUACAAUGGGCCCCAGAUGAUGUUUUAAAAUGUGAGAAACUCAAAUGUGUUGGUUUAAAUAAGACUUUUGCAAUCGAUAGCUUCGGGAAAAAAAAGAGACUUUGAUGCGGCUUCUGGAAGGGGAUUUCGAACGCUUUCGCUUCCCGAACAAAAAACAAGGCAGGAAAAUCCUAAAUAAUAAGAAUAAGAGGUAGAAAGAAAUCAGAAGUUCCUCCUGGCUUUGGAGUUCUUAAAGAGGAAUAAGGGGAAAAUGGGCUUCGGGUCGCUCAGCUCCGUCCCGACCAGACGCUCCGCAGCCCCCGCAGAGAAGCGCAAAAACAGCGCAAAAACCGCGCAGCUCCUUCCGGGGCAGCGCAGCUCCUCCUGCGUUCUGUCCCAAAUCCUUUCGCUCUGGUUUAUUAUCGGGACUGUUUUUUUUCCCCCGAUGUCACCGCGCUGCGUUCGGCUUUUCGGGCUUUGCGGGGAGGAGUGGGGCGGUGGGGCCGGGGGGACCUUCAGCCCUUUCCCCCCCGAUUAUUUCCUCCUUCCCAAAUCCCCGCACCCCCUCACUGCCCUCCCCCUCCCCACCCCCUUUUCUCCCCCCAUAGUGCCCGUUCGAGCCCUCGGAAUCGGCUUUUAUUUAUCUUUUAGAUUUCUUUCUCUAUUCAUUUCCUUGAGACAUUUUCUUUUUAGCCUCAACUUCAGGCCCUUUCCGCUCCGCUCCCGUUUCCUUUCCCUUUCCCUUUCGUCGUAAUUGGAGUUUCUUCUCUCUGGAAAUAAUUCCCUCUCUCCUCAGAAACGCGUCCAGAGGAGAGGAGCAGACCGGGGUGUCCCCCCCCCCCAUCACAACCCCCCACCCUUUUUUUUUGUUGGCAGAGGGGAAAAACCCCUCAACGAGGGGGGAAAGAAACACUGGGG
This is a non-coding RNA of Coturnix japonica (Japanese quail), 1608 nucleotides long. Lineage: Eukaryota; Metazoa; Chordata; Aves; Galliformes; Phasianidae. The record is from RefSeq and is a predicted model, not a curated record.